AGCAGCCGCGGUAAUUCCAGCUCCAAUAGCGUAUAUUAAAGUUGUUGCAGUUAAAAAGCUCGUAGUUGAAUUUCGGGAUCAGUACGCUGGUCGUGCCUUUGGUAUGUACUGGUGUCACUGAUUCCUCCCUUCUGAAGAACCGUUAUGCCAUUUAUUUGGUGUGGCGGGGAAUCAGGACUGUUACUUUGAAAAAUUAGAGUGUUUAAAGCAGGCUCGCGCUUGAAUACAUUAGCAUGGAAUAAUGAAAUAGGACGUUUGAUCUUAUUUUGUUGGUUUCUAGGAUCGACGUAAUGAUUAAUAGGGAUAGUUGGGGGCAUUAGUAUUCAAUUGUCAGAGGUGAAAUUCUUGGAUUUAUUGAAGACUAACUACUGCGAAAGCAUUUGCCAAGGAUGUUUUCAUUAAUCAAGAACGAAAGUUAGGGGAUCGAAGACGAUCA
This 436-nucleotide ribosomal RNA is filed under the name uncultured Glomus. RNAcentral's name for it is "SSU rRNA". It matches the Rfam family "Eukaryotic small subunit ribosomal RNA", at positions 569 to 1010 of the family's 1831-position model. The record is from RNAcentral. Lineage: Eukaryota; Fungi; Glomeromycota; Glomeromycetes; Glomerales; Glomeraceae.